Molecule: ribosomal RNA, 253 nt
Filed under: uncultured bacterium
Lineage: Bacteria
Description: partial 16S ribosomal RNA
Rfam family: Bacterial small subunit ribosomal RNA
Source: RNAcentral
UACGAAGGGUGCAAGCGUUACUCGGAAUUACUGGGCGUAAAGCGUGCGUAGGUGGUGAGUUAAGUCUGAUGUGAAAUCCCCGGGCUUAACCUGGGAAUGGCAUUUGGGACUGCAAGGCUUGAGUGCGGCAGAGGAGACUAGAAUUCCUGGUGUAGCAGUGAGAUGCGUAGAUAUCAGGAGGAAUACCGAUGGCGAAGGCAGGUCUCUGGGCUGACACUGACGCUCAUGCACGAAAGCGUGGGGAGCAAACAGG